UGAAUACGAGACGCUACGGCGUCGAAGCAGUCGAUGUCAUACUUCCAAGAAAAGCUUGCACUGUCAUAAACAAAGAAUGCCUGUACCAUAACCGACACAGGUGGGUAGGUAGAGUAUACUAAGGGGCGCGAGAUAACUCUCUCUAAGGAACUCGGCAAAAUGACUCCGUAACUUCGGGAGAAGGAGUGCCUUAUUUAUAAGGUUGCAAUAACAAGAUCCAAGCAACUGUUUACCAAAAACACAGGUCUCCGCUAAGUCGUAAGACGAUGUAUGGGGGCUGACGCCUGCCCAGUGCCAGAAGGUUAAAGAAGUUGGUUAGCAUUUGCGAAGCUGAUAACUGAAGCCCUGGUGAACGGCGGCCGUAACUAUAACGGUCCUAAGGUAGCGAAAUUCCUUGUCGGGUAAGUUCCGACCCGCACGAAAGGCGUAAUGAUUUGGAUACUGUCUCAGAGAGGGGCUCGGUGAAAUAGACUUGUCUGUGAAGAUGCGGACUACCUGCACCAGGACAGAAAGACCCUAUGAAGCUUUACUGUAACCUGAAAUUGAAAUUGGACUUUAUUUGCGCAGUAUAGGUGGGAGGCGUUGAGAAUUUUCUUGCGGGAAGAUUGGAGCCAUCAGUGAGAUACCACUCUUGUAAUGUUAGAUCUCUAACUUUGAAUCAUGAUCUGGUCAAAGAACAGUUUCAGGCGGGCAGUUUGACUGGGGCGGUCGCCUCCCAAAUGGUAACGGAGGCGCACAAAGGUUUCCUCUGAACGGGUAGAAAUCGUAUCUAGAGUGUAAAGGCAUAAGGAAGCCUGACUGUGAGACCUACAAGUCGAGCAGGGACGAAAGUCGGUCUUAGUGAUCUGACGGUGCUGAGUGGAAAGGCCGUCACUCAACGGAUAAAAGUUACUCUAGGAUAACAGGCUGAUCUCCCCCAAGAGUUCACAUCGACGGGGAGGUUUGGCACCUCGAUGUCGGCUCAUCGCAUCCUGGGGCGGUAGUACGUCCCAAGGGUUGGGCUGUUCGCCCAUGAAAGCGGUACGCGAGCUGGGUUCAGAACGUCGUGAGACAGUUCGGUCCAUAUCCGGUGUAGGCGUUAGAAUAUUGAGAGGAGCCUUCUUUAGUACGAGAGGACCGAGAAGGACAUACCUCUGGUGUACCAGUUAUCGUGCCAACGGUAAACGCUGGGUAGCUAUGUAUGGAGAGGAUAACCGCUGAAAGCAUCUAAGUGGGAAGCCCACCUCAAGAUAAGUAUUCCA
This 1241-nucleotide ribosomal RNA is filed under the name metagenome. Its description in RNAcentral is "bacterial LSU rRNA". It matches the Rfam family "Bacterial large subunit ribosomal RNA", at positions 1564 to 2815 of the family's 2925-position model. The record is from RNAcentral.